Molecule: ribosomal RNA, 592 nt
Filed under: Sparassis latifolia
Lineage: Eukaryota; Fungi; Basidiomycota; Agaricomycetes; Polyporales; Sparassidaceae
Description: eukaryotic LSU rRNA
Rfam family: 5.8S ribosomal RNA (bases 184-337)
Source: RNAcentral
GGUUGUAGCUGGCCUUCUCGGAGGCAUCGUGCACGCCCUGCCCGUCCCAUAUCAUACCUGUGAACUUUUUGGUAGGCGGGUUUGUGUCGGCCUCGAAAGGGGUCGACCGGCCCUCCGGCCGUCUUUAUAUACACACCAUACGAGUCUUUAGAAUGUUUGUGCGUCUCGACGCAUCUUAUAUAUAACUUUCAGCGACGGAUCUCUUGGCUCUCGCAUCGAUGAAGAACGCAGCGAAACGCGAUAAGUAAUGUGAAUUGCAGAAUUCAGUGAAUCAUCGAAUCUUUGAACGCACCUUGCGCUCCUCGGUAUUCCGAGGAGCAUGCCUGUUUGAGUGUCAUGAAAUUAUCAACCCCUCCUCCUUCAUCGGCGGUGGGGCUUGGACUUGGAGGCUUUGCGGGCUUUUAACGAGUCGGCUCCUCUCAAAUGCAUUAGCUCGAACCCCUGCGGAUCGGCCUUCGGUGUGAUAUAAUGUCUACGUCGUGGUCGUGAGCGUCGGAUCGGCUUCUAAUGGUCCCCUUUCGGAGGCGGAAUUUGAACUUGUGACCUCAAAUCAGGUAGGACUACCCGCUGAACUUAAGCAUAUCAUAAAGCG